Molecule: ribosomal RNA, 253 nt
Filed under: uncultured bacterium
Lineage: Bacteria
Description: partial 16S ribosomal RNA
Rfam family: Bacterial small subunit ribosomal RNA
Source: RNAcentral
UACGUAGGGUGCGAGCGUUGUCCGGAAUUAUUGGGCGUAAAGGGCUCGUAGGCGGUUUGUCACGUCGGGAGUGAAAACUCGGGGCUCAACCCCGAGCCUGCUUCCGAUACGGGCAGACUAGAGGUAUGCAGGGGAGAACGGAAUUCCUGGUGUAGCGGUGAAAUGCGCAGAUAUCAGGAGGAACACCGGUGGCGAAGGCGGUUCUCUGGGCAUUACCUGACGCUGAGGAGCGAAAGCGUGGGGAGCAAACAGG